UCCGGUGUGGUGUAUCGGUUAUCAUUCCGCGUUUUCAUUACGAAAUAUCUACCGCGGCGAGGAGGGUUCGACUCCCUCCAUCGGAG
Non-coding RNA from Fusarium oxysporum f. sp. raphani 54005, 86 nucleotides. The record is from Rfam. NCBI's taxonomy places the organism in Eukaryota, Fungi, Ascomycota, Sordariomycetes, Hypocreales, Nectriaceae.